CACAUAUGUUUGUGAUGCACAUGUUGAAUGCUAUCACACAUUCUCAGCCCAGGAGAGCUAAUGCAGCAGGCCAACUGCAUCCUUUAGGCCAGUGAGCAUUUGUAUACUGUGCUGCAAAUGUUCUCAGCCAAAUAGUACUGUCUGGACACCAAGCAGAGAGAAUUCUCGAUGCAUUAUUUUUUCACUGCCACUCUCUGUCACUAAUUUUGUUCUUUGAAAAAUGUCCCUGACCUCAAUUGCCAAUACAUAAGUAAAUAAAAUAAAAUGUAAAAUUGAUAGUGCAGUUCUGUCCAAAGAUGCAAAAGAAAGGUUUGACUGAGGCUUAAGGUAACUUGAAAGAGAUAAUUUAGUCUACUCAGGAUAAAAGGUAGUGAUCAAUUAGUGAUUGAUGGAAGUCAUUUGGCAUUAUUAAGGAAAUCAUAAGCAUCAUUAUAAAUUGGUGAAUAGAAUAACAAUUAUUUGCAAGGUAUAAGAAAGAAAUGACAGAGGUAUGUUGUGAUUUCAGAGUAUUUGGAGAGCAUAAAAAUGAUAUUCCUAAAACCUAGAAGAUACCACCAUGAGAAAACGAGUGAUGCUGUAGCAUUGAAUCAGGAUGCACUCCUAAGAGAAGACUACCUGAAAGGCGUGUACACUGGUCUAGCAGUUGAGGUCAGCUAGUGUUCCAUCUAUCUUCUGUCAUGUAACCAAUGGCUCUACCCAACAUAUUCUUCUCAUCACAGAUGACAAAGACACAAGGAGCCAAGACAGAUCAUUCAAGCAUAUUCAUUGCCUCCAUCUUCAUCCCGUUAAAUAACAUCCCGCCAACCAAAGCAAGUUAUCUGCAUAAGAAUAAAUAUUCCACCUACUCUACUGCAAGGCCCUGCAAGAGUCAUGAGACAAAAGGCAAAUGCAUUUGUUUCCCUCUAUUCAUUAUUAGAAGAGAGGAGAUUACAUACCAGACAUAUACCAAUAGGUUUUCUCUUCAUAAUACCUAUGUCAUCUAGUAGCAUAACGUAAGGCAGAAUCCUUCAAAGAUUUUCACCUGAACUUUUCUUGAGCAUCUCUAGACAGUCACAUGCAG
Molecule: long non-coding RNA, 1060 nt
Organism: Pan troglodytes (chimpanzee)
Lineage: Eukaryota; Metazoa; Chordata; Mammalia; Primates; Hominidae
Source: Ensembl